This 1482-nucleotide ribosomal RNA is filed under the name uncultured Bordetella sp. RNAcentral describes it as "partial 16S-23S ribosomal RNA intergenic spacer". It matches the Rfam family "Bacterial small subunit ribosomal RNA". The record is from RNAcentral. Lineage: Bacteria; Pseudomonadati; Pseudomonadota; Betaproteobacteria; Burkholderiales; Alcaligenaceae.
AGUUCGAUCAUGGCUCAGAUUGAACGCUGGCGGGAUGUUUACACAUGCAAGUCGAACGGCAGCACGGACUUCGGGUCUGGUGGGCGAGUGGCGAACGGGUGAGUAAUGUAUCGGAACGUGUCAUAGUAGCGGGGAUAACUACGCUGCCGAAAGCGGUGGCUAAUAACGGCACACGCCUUCGGGGGAAAGCGGGGGGACCUUCGCCUCGCACUAUUAGAGCGGCCGAUAUCGGAUUAGCUAGUUGGUGGGUAACCAUCACCAAGUCGACGAUCCGUAGCUGGCUGGAGAGGACGACCAGCCACACUGGGACUGAGCGACGGCCCAGACUCCUACGGGAGGCAGCAGUGGGGAAUUUUGGACAAUGGGGAAACCCCUCGAUCCAGCCAUCCCCCAAGCGUGUGCGAUGAAGGCCUUCGGGUUGUAAAAGCACUUUUGGCAGGAAAGAAACGGGCACGGGAUAAUACCUCCGUGCAACUGACGGUACCUGCAGAAUAAGCACCGGCUAACUACGUGCUGCCAGCAGCCGCGGUAAUACGUAGGUGCAAGCGUUAAUCGGAAUUACUGGGCGGAAGCGUGCGCAGGCGGUUCGGAAAGAAAGAUGUGAAAUCCCAGAGCUUAACUUUGGAACUGCAUUUCUAACUACCGAGCUAGAGUGUAUCAGAGGGAGGUGAAUCGCGUGUAGCAGUGAAAUGCGUAGAUAUGCGGAGGAACACCGAUGGCGAAGGCAGCCUCCUGGGACAACACUGACGCUCAUGCACGAAAGCGUGGGGAGCAAACAGGAUUAGAUACCCUGGUAGUCCACGCCCUAAACGAUGUCAACUAGCCGUUGGGGCCUUCGGGCCUGCAGGCAGCGCAGCGACUGCGUGAAGCUGCUGAUCAUGUUCAGAGGCAUGGGCUGCAAGAUUAAAACCUGCAUGAAUUGACGGGACCUUACAAGCGGUGGAUGAUAUGGGAUUAACUGAUGCACGCGAAAACUACCUACCCUGACAUGUCUGGAAUCCCGAAGAGAUUUGGGAUGUUUCAAGAGAACCGAACACAGGUGCUGCAUGGCUGUCGUCAGCUGUGUCGAGAUGCCGGGUUAAGUCCGCAACGAGCGCAACCCUUUGUCAUUAGUUGCUACGAAAGGGCAAUUUAAUGAGACUGCCGGUGACAAACCGGAGGAAGGUGGGGAUGACGUCAAGUCCUCAUGGCUCCCAGGUAGGGCUUCACACGUCAUACAAUGGUCGGGACAGAGGGUCGCCAACCCGCGAGGGGGAGCCAAUCCCAGAAACCCGAUCGUAGUCCGGAUCGCAGUCUGCAACUCGACUGCGUGAAGUUCAACCGUAAUCGCGGAUCAGCAUGUCGCGGUGAAUACGUCUUCGGGUCUUGUACACACCGCUCGUCACACCAUGGAGUGGGUUUUACCAUGAAGUAGUUAGUCGCAACCGUAAGGAGGGCGAUUACCACGGUAGGAUUCAUGAUCAGUGAAGUCGUACAAGGUAA